UAAAAAGUAAGUAUUUAAAUAAUAGACUUCUAAUCUUUUAUUGUUAGAUUUACAAUCUUUCCUUUUUAU
Molecule: transfer RNA, 69 nt
Filed under: Parakontikia atrata
Lineage: Eukaryota; Metazoa; Platyhelminthes; Tricladida; Geoplanidae
Description: tRNA-Ser
Source: RNAcentral